CUACGGGGCGCUCCAGUGGGGAAUAUUGGGCAAUGGGCGAAAGCCUGACCCAGCAACGCCGCGUGAUUGAAGAAGGCUUUCGGGUUGUAAAAAUCUGUCCUUGGGGACGAAGAAGUGACGGUACCCAAGGAGGAAGCCCCGGCUAACUACGUGCCAGCAGCCGCGGUAAUACGUAGGGGGCGAGCGUUGUCCGGAAUUACUGGGCGUAAAGGGUGCGCAGGCGGCGCUUUAAGUCAGAUGUGAAAUACCCAUGCUUAACGUGGGGGGUGCAUUUGAAACUGGAGCGCUUGAGUGCAGGAGAGGAAAGUGGAAUUCCUAGUGUAGCGGUGAAAUGCGUAGAUAUUAGGAGGAACACCAGUGGCGAAGGCGACUUUCUGGACUGUAACUGACGCUGAGGCACGAAAGCGUGGGGAGCAAACAGGAUUAGAUACCCGCGUAGUC
This 441-nucleotide ribosomal RNA is filed under the name uncultured bacterium. RNAcentral describes it as "partial 16S ribosomal RNA". It matches the Rfam family "Bacterial small subunit ribosomal RNA", at positions 339 to 795 of the family's 1533-position model. The record is from RNAcentral.